UAUAUACUUCCUCCGUUCGGAAUUACUCGUUAAAGAAAUGAAUGUAUCUAGAUGUAUUUUAGUUGUAGAUACAUCCAUUUUUGUGACAAAUAAUUUCGAACGGAGGGAGUACGUA
This is a non-coding RNA of Triticum aestivum (bread wheat), 115 nucleotides long. The record is from Rfam. Lineage: Eukaryota; Viridiplantae; Streptophyta; Magnoliopsida; Poales; Poaceae.